This 253-nucleotide ribosomal RNA is filed under the name uncultured bacterium. RNAcentral's name for it is "partial 16S ribosomal RNA". It matches the Rfam family "Bacterial small subunit ribosomal RNA", at positions 524 to 776 of the family's 1533-position model. The record is from RNAcentral.
UACGGAGGGAGCUAGCGUUGUUCGGAAUCACUGGGCGUAAAGAGCGCGUAGGCGGUUUAUCAAGUUGGGAGUGAAAUCCCGGGGCUUAACCCCGGAAUUGCUUUCAAAACUGAUAGGCUAGAGAUCGAUAGGGGAUAAUGGAAUUCUUAGUGUAGAGGUGAAAUUCUUAGAUAUUAGGAGGAACACCGGAGGCGAAGGCGAUUAUCUGGGUCGAUACUGACGCUGAGGCGCGAGAGCGUGGGGAGCAAACAGG